Molecule: long non-coding RNA, 815 nt
Organism: Meriones unguiculatus (Mongolian gerbil)
Lineage: Eukaryota; Metazoa; Chordata; Mammalia; Rodentia; Muridae
Exons: 3
Source: RefSeq, a predicted model, not a curated record
CCCAGUUCGUGAGGAGAGUCAGGAGCUGAGCUGAACAGGGAGCGUGGCGGGGUGGGCAGGCGCCCUCCCUGAGCGUUAGCACUGAAGCCGAGGAGGGGACGCUUGGUGGGAAAGUCUUCUAGGCAGAAGAGAGAGCAUAUCUCAGGAGAGAACUCAGAGUCUCAAAGAGCAAGGGGCAGAAGCUCCCAUAAUCUGCACGGCAGGAGGAAAGGAAGCAUAUUGCCCUUGGGAUUCACCACCUAACUUCAAACGAGCAAGAACGCACCACUGAGACUGAGACACCCCAGACAUGUUAAUAGCCCAUCACGUGCCAAGGGAGUGGAGAUGGAGAAAAGGAAUGAGCUGAAGACGUGUUUGAAGGUGCUGACGGCAGCAAUGAGUGAUGGCAGCCAACUUCCUCCUAACGCCUCGCCUUCCCAAAUCAGCCGAGGCUUGGGUUUCCAGACCACCUAAGGACCAAAGCGCCGGCACCUGGCCGGCGAUGUGGUGGUGUGGAGAGGUGCUGGGUGUGGGGUGUGGGUUCCACUCUCCAAGUCUCAGCUAGGCACACUCUUGCCAUCAGAUGUGGGACUCGUCAUUAUCUCCUGGGACGAUUCAUUGCCAGCACGGAGAGACAGCGGUGAACUGGGGAGAGUGAGUCAUGCAGAAAGAGAGCUUUGUCACUCGUCACCACCACCUGGAGAAGAAGGCUGUGCACUGGGGAAAGACAUCAGUCUGAACCAGCUUCCCUCCUAGGCCCACUGUACCUCCAUUAGUAUGUUUUUGUGUGAUUGUAAAGUGAUUAUGCCCAUAAGAUUAAAUAAACUCCCCUCAAG